AAGUCGUAACAAGGUUUCCGUAGGUGAACCUGCGGAAGGAUCAUUACCGAACGAUGUGCACCUUCUUGUGGUGGACCAUUGCAUUGCAUUGCUGCUUGUGGCAUGCCAUGCCAUGCCCUUUGGUCUGCUACGUCUUUCAUCAAUCAAACCUGUUCAUUGCAUGUUGGAGUGGCAACCUUUUGUGGGGUAGUUGCUCCUUAAAUGUGGAAAUGUCAAUAUAACUUUCAACAACGGAUCUCUUGGCUCUC
This 248-nucleotide unclassified non-coding RNA is filed under the name fungal sp. RNAcentral's name for it is "partial internal transcribed spacer region". The stretch from base 1 to 46 matches the Rfam family "Eukaryotic small subunit ribosomal RNA", at positions 1786 to 1831 of the family's 1831-position model. The record is from RNAcentral. Lineage: Eukaryota; Fungi.